GGGAUCUCUGGCCCGAGCCUCCGGCCGUCUCUGAGCAGUCUCCGCACCGCCUCUGAGCCUGGAUCUCUGCUGGGUCUCGGGCCCCCUAGGGCGGCUCCGAGGAAUGAGACCCCGCCCUUCCUCCUGUCAAUCCCCCUUGUCCCGGCCCCCCGACGGUCCCUCCUCCUCCGCCUCCUGCGCAUGACCGGAAGCCCCGCCGCAGUCAUUCUCUCAGUACGCAGGCGCGGCGGCCGCUUGGGCUGGCGGCUCCGCGGACAUGGGCUGCUCCCCCCUCCCCACGUGGGCUUGUGCUCGGCCGACACCCUGGUCUUAGGGUCAGAGGGCGAGGUGACCGUCUGGAGAGGAUGCUGUCUGUAAGGGGCAGAGGGCCUGUGGAGCGGACCUGAGCUCAGAGUGGGGAUACACAGAGUACGUGGCCCUGGCCGAGGGUCCCCCUUGCCCCAUUCCAAGGUGUGUAAGGGAGAGCUGAGCUCACCUGGGCAGCCUGAGGGGCCCCACCCCAAGUGGUCCCUGUCUACA
RNAcentral lists this long non-coding RNA (519 nucleotides) under Phascolarctos cinereus (koala). Its description in RNAcentral is "lncRNA (ENSPCIG00000021317.2)". Lineage: Eukaryota; Metazoa; Chordata; Mammalia; Diprotodontia; Phascolarctidae. The record is from RNAcentral.